AUCCAGCCAACGAAUCCCAAAUAGGAUGAAACUCGCGUCCUGGAU
This 45-nucleotide non-coding RNA is filed under the name Schistosoma margrebowiei. Lineage: Eukaryota; Metazoa; Platyhelminthes; Trematoda; Strigeidida; Schistosomatidae. The record is from RNAcentral.